GAUGAACGCUGGCGGCGUGCCUAAUACAUGCAAGUCGAGCGAACAGACGAGGAGCUUGCUCCUCUGACGUUAGCGGCGGACGGGUGAGUAACACGUGGAUAACCUACCUAUAAGACUGGGAUAACUUCGGGAAACCGGAGCUAAUACCGGAUAAUAUAUUGAACCGCGUGGUUCAAUAGUGAAAGACGGUUUUGCUGUCACUUAUAGAUGGAUCCGCGCCGCAUUAGCUAGUUGGUAAGGUAACGGCUUACCAAGGCAACGAUGCGUAGCCGACCUGAGAGGGUGAUCGGCCACACUGGAACUGAGACACGGUCCAGACUCCUACGGGAGGCAGCAGUAGGGAAUCUUCCGCAAUGGGCGAAAGCCUGACGGAGCAACGCCGCGUGAGUGAUGAAGGUCUUCGGAUCGUAAAACUCUGUUAUUAGGGAAGAACAAAUGUGUAAGUAACUAUGCACGUCUUGAUGGUACCUAAUCAGAAAGCCACGGCUAACUACGUG
Molecule: ribosomal RNA, 497 nt
Filed under: uncultured bacterium
Lineage: Bacteria
Description: partial 16S ribosomal RNA
Rfam family: Bacterial small subunit ribosomal RNA
Source: RNAcentral